This is a long non-coding RNA of Maniola jurtina (meadow brown), 420 nucleotides long. RefSeq lists it as uncharacterized. Lineage: Eukaryota; Metazoa; Arthropoda; Insecta; Lepidoptera; Nymphalidae. The record is from RefSeq and is a predicted model, not a curated record. The transcript has 3 exons.
AAUAUGAAGAAAUAACAAAUAAAAUCAACCCCCAAUCGGCAGAAGAUUUUAAAACUUUAUUCAUCGGCCCAGCAUCAUCGUGCGUCCAGGGUUAUCCCGGCCACAACUAGGAGGUGUCCAGGGUAUUCCCGGCCCAGUUCGAGGAGUCCAGGGGUUUCCCGGCCCACCAAGAAGCAAGAAGAGGCGCGGACUCCAGACCUCCGGACCUGAUGAGUGAAAUCACUCCUAUCGACGGCGACACCACGGCGACAGCGACUUCAUAGCGGUCACGAAAUUGAAUAAUAAAUGCAUCGCUAACAAUUAAAGUAAGUGCAAUUUAUCUCUCGUAAUGGGCAUUAGGUAUUAUAGGUAGAAUAAAUAGUACUGUAAAAAUUUUUUCUUGGUUAGAUAAUAAAUAAUUUAAUUUUAUACGUAAUAAUA